Molecule: ribosomal RNA, 623 nt
Filed under: uncultured bacterium
Lineage: Bacteria
Description: bacterial SSU rRNA
Rfam family: Bacterial small subunit ribosomal RNA (bases 1-542)
Source: RNAcentral
CCUACGGGAGGCAGCAGUGGGGAAUUUUGGACAAUGGGCGCAAGCCUGAUCCAGCCAUUCCGCGUGAGUGAAGAAGGCCUUCGGGUUGUAAAGCUCUUUCGCAAGGGAAGAAAACUUAGUCUCUAACAUAGACUGAGGUUGACGGUACCUUGAUAAGAAGCACCGGCUAACUACGUGCCAGCAGCCGCGGUAAUACGUAGGGUGCGAGCGUUAAUCGGAAUUACUGGGCGUAAAGCGUGCGCAGGCUGUUUUGUAAGUCAGAUGUGAAAUCCCUGAGCUCAACUUAGGAACUGCGUUUGAAACUACAAGACUAGAAUAUGUCAGAGGGGGGUAGAAUUCCACGUGUAGCAGUGAAAUGCGUAGAGAUGUGGAGGAAUACCAAUGGCGAAGGCAGCCCCCUGGGAUAAUAUUGACGCUCAUGCACGAAAGCGUGGGGAGCAAACAGGAUUAGAUACCCUGGUAGUCCACGCCCUAAACGAUGUCUACUAGUUGUUGGUGAGUAAAUCCAUGAGUAACGCAGCUAACGCGUGAAGUAGACCGCCUGGGGGAGGUACGGUCGCGAGAGUAAACGUACGAAAGAAGUAGAGCGNGAGAGAGACGACGGACGACGACGAGGGAGGAGG